CGAGUCAGUCUCUCAGCAUUGUCCUUGCCCUCCCCAAUUGCUCCCUUUCCCUGCUGCUGAUCCAGGGGACCCAUCGAUUCUCUCACGGGCUUCCUGAUUCUGCUGGACUGAAAUAAUUCCCUGGUAUUUGUUGUAUAUCUCUGGCUGUUCCAUUUAGCCUCCUAAUUCCCAUCAUGCACUUCACCCGAAGCGAAUGCUCCUUUCUGCAGGCUUCACAGGGUUAAUAUUUUCCAUUUGCAGAGGGAUCCCUGUUUAGCUCUAACAACCUCCUGCACCUGGCCAGGUGGGGUUACUGUAUUUCUCCCCUUCCUGCUUCCUUUGUUGCUCAGGGGGUGCAGGUGUCUGGCUGCUGAUGUAGCUUCCAGGCUGAGUCUAAGGAUUGUAACUUCCCUGCUUUAAGGUCUUUUUGACUCACUUCUCUUCUGCAAGAUAAUGUGAUAUUGACUCAUUUCUCUUUAUUUUAUUUUUAGACAAACUCCAGGCUGAGCUCAGGUGGAGAUGCGCCCAGCUCUACGCAGGUACUGUACAUACCACUGAUGUUUUAUCCAUAGUGAGGCCCCACCUCCCCCUAGGAGCUCUCUGCUCCUUUCCCUGCACAGAGCAUUUUCCUAUGACAUUCAAUAGGCUGGAAACAGCAAUAUCACUGGGGUGGAUGGAAAGGGGCAGACAAAACCCAGGUUUAUUGCAGAGCAGGGACCUGCCCCCUUUGGGAAAGGGCUGAUUAGUGAUGAAAUGCUGCCCCCUGGUGUCACCUUUCCCAGGUGGUACCUGGGCUCUGCAGGAUGGACAUUCUUAUCUGGCCAUAAUUGAACUGAACUGCCAAGCUCUCUCUUCCCAGCAGCAGGAUCAGACCAGGCUUUAGCCACAAUUUCCUUCUAGUGUAACAGGCCCAGACAGGAGCUGUUCAGUGUCCCCCUGGAAUUGGGGUGAGGAAGGCCCUGACCCCACUGCAAGAGCAGACACGUUUUUAUAACCAGCUCGUGACACUCCCUUGACCCAGUUACAACAAACUGCCCAGCCCACGCGGCAGCUUUUCUGCCUCACAGUCGUAGCUGAGCUGUGUCUGUGUGUUUGUACCCAGCAUCCAGCCCAACCAUGUGUGCACUGGUGCAUGCUGGGAGAGUCUGGGCAGCUCCAGCAGGCAUCAGAGAGCCCAGG
Molecule: long non-coding RNA, 1158 nt
Filed under: Chrysemys picta bellii (western painted turtle)
Lineage: Eukaryota; Metazoa; Chordata; Testudines; Emydidae
Description: lncRNA (ENSCPBG00000017273.1)
Source: RNAcentral